CUCCUUUAACAUGCUGCAGGAUUGUGGGAACUGCUCCAGAUUGUUCCACGCCAAGCGUAUAGAAAACACAAACCUAUUGUUUGUGGUGGCAGAGACGCUGCCCUGCAGCUCCUGCGAGAUCGAGAAACUCCUACCUGUCAGAACAAAGUCUCAAGAAGAGAAUCCGUGUGAGGUGUUAAACUCCGCCCGC
Long non-coding RNA from Sinocyclocheilus grahami, 190 nucleotides. RefSeq lists it as uncharacterized. The transcript has 3 exons. Lineage: Eukaryota; Metazoa; Chordata; Actinopteri; Cypriniformes; Cyprinidae. The record is from RefSeq and is a predicted model, not a curated record.